GACGAACGCUGGCGGCAUGCCUAAUACAUGCAAGUCGAGCGAACAGAUGAAGUGCUUGCACUUCUGACGUUAGCGGCGAACGGGUGAGUAACACGUAAGGAAUCUACCUAUAAGCGGGGGAUAACAUUCGGAAACGGGUGCUAAUACCGCAUAAUAUCUUCUUCCGCAUGGGAGAAGAUUGAAAGACGGCUCUGCUGUCACUUAUAGAUGACCUUGCGGUGCAUUAGUUAGUUGGUGGGGUAAUGGCCUACCAAGACGAUGAUGCAUAGCCGACCUGAGAGGGUGAUCGGCAACAUUGGGACUGAGACACAGCCCAAACUCCUACGGGAGGCAGCAGUAGGGAAUCUUCCGCAAUGGGCGAAAGCCUGACGGAGCAAUGCCGCGUGAGUGAAGAAGGCCUUCGGGUCGUAAAACUCUGUUAUAAGAGAAGAACAAAUUGUAGAGUAACUGCUACAGUCUUGACGGUAUCUUAUCAGAAAGCCACGGCUAACUACGUGCCAGCCGCCGCAGUAA
RNAcentral lists this ribosomal RNA (513 nucleotides) under uncultured bacterium. Its description in RNAcentral is "partial 16S ribosomal RNA". It matches the Rfam family "Bacterial small subunit ribosomal RNA", at positions 28 to 523 of the family's 1533-position model. The record is from RNAcentral.